Molecule: long non-coding RNA, 2354 nt
Organism: Gorilla gorilla gorilla (western lowland gorilla)
Lineage: Eukaryota; Metazoa; Chordata; Mammalia; Primates; Hominidae
Exons: 3
Source: RefSeq, a predicted model, not a curated record
GGGCAAAUCCCCUCUUCCCUCUGGCAUCAGGACUUCUGGGGCUUGAAGACCGUGGGUCUGCGGGAAGCCCCUGCUGAGCGUCCCUCGCCUACCCCGUGGCCAGUGGGACAAACUUAGCCUUCCGUUCUGUUGGUCUGUGAUGACCGUUUCCACGUCCUGCUUUCUGAGAGCACUUGCCUGGUGUAGACGUCCCCGUUUUCAGUGGUUAUGCGUCCCUCUAGUUUCGGUGAUGCCCUGAGGUUUACUUCCUGCAUUUUUAAGCCCACGUUUCCCCAGCAUUCAUGUGUGGCCAGCGUCUGAUUCUUCCUCCAGAGCAAGACAGGGAGGCCACUGCACUUCAGCUGCCUUCACAAGUCUCCUCUGCCACCCCCACUGAGGCCGUCUGGGAGUUUAAUUCUAGGCUAUUAUUAAAUUUCUAUAAAAUUGUUUCAACUUUACUGAGAUAUAAUUCACAAAUAGGAAUUGUGUACAGUUAAGGUGUAGGACUUGAUGUACACGCUGUGAAUGAUCGCUGCAGUCAAGCUAUUUCGCAUGUUCACACCUCACGGUGACUACCAAGUUGGUGCAAAGAGUAACUGCGGUUUUUGCAAUUAGAAGCAAUUAUUUUUGCACCAACCUAAAAUAUUUUCUUUUUUUUCUCUUUUUUUUUUUUUUUUGUCGCCCAGCCUGGACUGCCGUGGUGAAAUCUUGGCUCACUGAAGCCUCUGCUUCCCAGGUUCAAUCAAUCUUGCCACCUCAGCCUCCCCAGUAGCUGGGACUAUGGGCACGUGCCACCAUGUCCAGCUAGUUUUUGUUUUUUGGGGGGUUUUUUUUGUAUUUUUAGUAGAGAUGGGGUUUCGCCAUGUUGCCCAGACUGGUCUUGAACUCCUGGCCUCAAGUGAUCCACCCCCCGCCUCGGCCUCCCAAAGUGUUGGGAUUACAGGCAUGAGCCACCGCACCAGCUUCUUUCAUUUUCUUUGUGUGUGUUAAGAACACUUAAGAUCUAUCCUCUCAGCCCAUGUCCAGCAUCCAGUACAGCAUUGUUAACCGUGGCCACCGAGGACAGCCCUCCCCAGAAAGUGAAUUUGCCAGCACCUUGAUCGUGGACUUCCAGCCUCCAGAACAGCGAGAAGAAUCGCUUCUAGGUUUCGACCAGCCAGCCUGUGGCAUUUUGCUGCAACAGCCUGGGCAGCCUGCAGUGCUCUGUGCUUUGUUCUCUUUCAUUUUGUUUUGUUUUCUGUAAUUCACCUUUGAGAAACUCGUUCAGGAAGGAUGCGUGGGUGACAUUUUCUGCAUCCUCACAUUUUGUCACUGGGUGUGGCCGGGUCUGUGAGUCUAGACACAAAGCCAGUCACCUGGGGACGCUGCCACCUGAAGGCCUGCGUGGCCGGGUCUGUGACUCUAGACACAAAGCCAGUCACCUGGGGACUCUGGGACACCCUCUUCUCUCACCCCAUUGCUGUGGGGAAGCCUGGGGAUGGGUUUUGUUGUUUUUUGUUUUUUGUUUUUUUUUUUUUUGAGAUGGAGUUUCCCUCUUGUCUCCCAGGCUAGAGUGCAAUGGCGUGAUCUCGGCUCACUGCAACUUCCGCCUCCUGGGUUCAAGCGAUUCUCCUGCCUCAGCCUCCUGAGUAGCUGGGAUUACAGGCAUGCACCACCACGCCUGGCUAAUUUUUGUAUUUUUAGUAGAGACGGGGUUUCACCAUGUUGGUCAGGCUGGUCCCGAACUCCUGACUUCAGGUGAUCCACGCACCUCAGCCUCCCAAAGUGCUGAGAUUACAAGCAUGAGCCACCGCGCCCAGCCCAUAGUGGUUUUUAAAUCUUUCCUUUUGCCCUCAUUGUUCUAAAAUUUUAUGAAGAUGAAGACAUAUCUCGUGUCUUAUUCACGGAGAGCCUAUUCUGUAACAGCCGCUGCUCUGGGCGCCAGGAGAAACCGUGAGGAGCAGCAGAGCUUCCGUCGCGGGGCCCACAGGGCCCAGGUGUGCAUUAUUUCCCUCCCAUCGAUCCUGUUCUUCUGAAACUGUCAGUGUGCAGAUGUUGGAAUGUCUGGCUUCAUCUUCCAUUUCCUUUUUUUUUUUUUUUUCAUACUUUCCCUCGAUCUCGCUCUGCUGUGCACAAAAAAACUUGGGCAUUUUCAAGUACAAAGCAAAGGAAGCAAUAAAGCAUCCCCAGAUAUUUGAGGAAAGCUGACAUCACAAAGUGGAGAAUUCCUUGACUGUGUGUUCCAGGCACAAGUUCAUUCUUCAGCCUUUUCUUCCUGUUAUUCACCCCAUCACUUUUUAAUUUUUUUUGGAUGUCACAUUUUUCAUAUUUAUAUUUUCAGUUCCGUUUUUAAGGCUGUAUCUUCUCUAUGGAUAAAUAAACCUGUGAAGACGUAC